GGUGGCAUGCCUAUGAGCUGAGUAGUCUAGACGAGGCAUCCUCACUCACUUGGACUCAGUUUUCAGAGAUGUUCUUGCAUGAGUAUGUUCCCCAGAGCCUCAGGGAUGCUUGGCACGCAGAGUUUGAGCAGCUGCGUCAGGGUGCUAUGACUGUGUCGGAGUAUGCAGUCCGUUUCAGUGAGUUAGCUCGCCAUGCACCGGCUCUGGUAGCUACAGUCAGAGAUAGGGUUCAUCGCUUCAUUGAGGGACUCCACCCCAGUAUUCGAACCAGUAUGGCCAGGGAGUUGGAGAUGGACAUCACUUAUCAGUAGGCUGUGAGCAUUGCCAGGAUAGUGGAGGGCAUGUUCGCCCAAGAUAGAGAGGAGAGAGAGGCCAAGAGGUCUCGAGAAACUGGUCAUUAUUCAGGAGCUCGUGCGCCAGCAACACGCUAUGGUAGGGGUUUUGUGAAUCGCCCUGUUCAUUCAGCUCUUCCAGUAGCCAGCGGUGUUCCCGCUCCUCCUAUACCUUAAGAGCCCUAUUAUGCACCGCCGGCCAGUCCAGCAGGCCAAGUCCGAGUCAGUCUCAGUCGCCGCAUCCUCCGAGGGGUUGUUUUGAGUGUGGUAACACUCGUCACAUGGUUAGAGAUUGCCCCAGAGCCAGGAGGGGUACACCUCCACAGACUUAUCAGCCUCCACGUGCACCACCGGGUCCUCCGCCCAUUCUUCCAGCCCUAGCUGCCACCCCACCUCCUCAGCCAGCUCGAGGUGGAGGUCGGGGAGGUCGAGGUUGCCCUAGAGGUGGAGGCCAGGCCAGGUACUAUGCCCUUCCAGCCCGUUCAGAGGCUGUUACUUCAGAUUCAGUCAUCACAGGUAUCGUCCCUAUCUGUCAUAGGGAUGAAUCAGUAUUAUUUGACCCAAGCUCUACGUAUUCAUAUGUGUCUUAUUAUUUUGCUCCACAUUUGGGGAUAUCUCGGGAUUCUUUGAGUUCCCCUAUUUAUGUAUCUACUACUGUGGGAGAUUCUCUUAUUGUGGACCGCGUGUAUCGGUCAUGUUUGAUUGCUCUUAGUAGUUUUGAGACCAGAGCCGAUUUAUUAUUGCUCAGCAUGGUGGACUUUGAUAUUAGUUUGGGCAUGGACUGGUUGUCGUCCCAUUAUACUAUUCUUGAUUGUCACGCUAAAACUGUGAUGCUGGCUAUGCCAAGUUUACCACGAUUAGAGUGGAGAGGUACCUUAGAGUAUACUCUCAGUAGAGUUAUUUCUUUGCUUAAAGCUCAACGAAUAGUUGAGAAGGGGUGUGACAUGUAUCUAGCUUAUGUGAGAGAUGUCAGUAUUUAUACCCCUACAAUUGAGUCAGUUCCAGUAGUGAGGGACUUUCCAGAUGUAUUUCCAGCUGAUCUUCUAGGCAUGCCGCCCGACAGAGAUAUUGAUUUUGGCAUUGAUUUGUUGCCGGGCACUCAUCCCAUCUCUAUUCCUCCAUAUCGUAUGGCUCCUCCUGAAUUGAAGGAGUUGAAAAAGCAGUUAUAAGAAUUGCUUGAUAAAGGCUUCAUUCAGCCUAGUGUGUCACUUUGGGGUGCUCCUGUCUUAUUUGUGAAGAAGAAGGAUGGUUCUAUGCGGAUGUGUAUUGAUUACCGCUAGUUGAACAAAGUCACAGUGAAGAACAGGUAUCCAUUGCCUCGUAUUGAUGACUUAUUUGAUCAGUUACAGGGUGCCAGAGUGUUUUCCAAGAUUGACUUACGUUCAGGUUAUCAUAAGUUAAAGAUUCGGGAGUCGGAUAUCCCGAAGACUGCUUUCAAGACCAGAUAUGGUCACUAUGAGUAUCUUGUCAUGUCAUUUGAGGUGACCAAUGCCCCAGCAGCCUUUAUGGAUUUGAUGCAUAGUGAGUUCCAAGAUUAUCUUGAUUCCUUCGUCAUUGUGUUUAUUGAUGACAUCCUGGUAUAUUCCCGAUCUCGGGAAGAUCAUGAGCAGCACCUGAGAACCGUGCUUCAGACUUUGAGGGAGAAGAAAUUGUAUGCAAAAUUUUCUAAGUAUGGAUUCUGGCUUGAUUCAGUGGCAUUCUUGGGCCACAUAGUGUCUUGUGAUGGGAUCAAGGUAGAUCCAAAGAAGGUGGAGGUAGUGCAGAGUUGGCCCAUACCAUCAUCAGCUACGGAGAUCCGCAGUUUCCUUGGUUUGGCGGGGUAUUACCAUCACUUUGUUGGGGGAUUUUCAUUCAUUACGGCACCUAUGACCAGGCUGACCCAGAACGGUGCUCCAUUCAGGUGGACUGAGGAGUGUGAGGAGAGCUUUUAGAAGCUCAAGACAGCUUUGACUACAGCCCCAGUAUUAGUAUUGCCUACAGGUUCGGGGUCCUACAUUAUCUAUUGUGAUGCCUCGAGGAUUGGCCUUGGAGCGGUAUUGUUGCAGGAUGAUAGGGUGAUUGCCGUUGAAGGUGCAUAAGAAGAAUUAUCCGGUUCAUGAUCUGGAGUUAGCGGCUAUUGUUCAUGCCCUGAAGAUCUGGCGUCAUUAUUUGUACGGUGUUCCCAUUGAGAUUUAUACUAAUCACCGGAGUUUGCAGCACUUGUUCAGGCAGAAGGACCUUAAUUUGCGUCAGCAGAGGUGGUUGGAGCUACUUAAAGACUAUGAUAUCACUAUAUUAUACUACCCGAGGAAGGCCAAUGCAGUGGCCGACGCCUUGAGUCACCGGGCAGAGAGUUUGGGGAGUUUGGCAUAUCUUCCGGCAGGUGAGAGGCCUUUAGCCUUGGAUGUUCAGGACUUAGCCAGUCAGUUAGUGAGAUUGGAUAUUUCAGAGCCUGGUCAGUUAUUAGCUUGUGUGGUUGCUCGGUCUUCUCUUUAUGACCAUAUCAGGGAGCGCCAGUAUGAUGAUCCUCAUCUUCUAGUUCUUCAGGACAGGGCUCGGCGAGGUGAUGCCAGAGAUGUGACUAUUGGUGAUGACGGUGUGAUGAGGAUGCAGAGCCGGAUCUGUGUGCCCAAUGUAGAUGGGCUUCGGGAGUUGAUUCUCGAGGAGGCCCACAGCUCGCGGUACUCCAUUCAUCCGGGUUCCGCGAAGAUGUACCAGGAUUUGAGACAGCACUACUAGUGGAGGAGGAUGAAGAAUGAUAUAGUUGGGUUUGUGGCCAAGUGUCUCCACUGUUAGCAGGUCAAAUAUGAGCACCAGAGGCCGGGUGGAUUACUUCAGAGGUUAAAGAUCCUAGAGUGGAAGUGGGAGCGGAUCACCAUGGACUUUGUAGUUGGACUUCCACGGACUUUGAGGAGGUUCGAUGCUAUUUGGGUGAUUGUGGAUCGGCUGACCAAGUCAGCUCAUUUUAUUCCAGUGUUGACCACUUAUUCUUCUGAGAGGUUGGCUAAGAUUUAUAUUAGAGAGAUUGUCCACCUUCAUGUUAUUCCAGUAUCCAUCAUUUCAGACAGAGGUACAUAGUUCACAUCACGGUUUUGGAGAGCCGUACAGCUGAAAUUCGGUACUAAGGUGGAGUUGAGCACAACCUUUCACCCUCAGACGGAUGGGCAGUCUGAGCGCACGAUUCAAAUUCUUGAGGAUAUGCUCCGUGCCUAUGUGAUAGAGUUCGGAGGGUCAUGGGACCAAUACUUGCCACUUACAGAGUUUGCUUACAACAGUUACCAGUCCAGCAUUCAGAUGGCACCGUAUGAGACUUUGUAUGGUAGGCGGUGCCGGUCCCUAGUGGGAUGGUUUGAGCUGGGCGAGGCCCGAUUGUUGGGUAAAGAUUUGGUCCAGGAUGCCCUAGAUAAGGUAAAGGUGAUUCAGGAGAGACUUCGCACAGCCCAGUCCAGGCAGAAGAGUUAUGCGGACUGGAAGGUUCUUGACUUGGCAUUUAUGGUUGGUGAGCGGGUCUUGCUUCGGGUAUCGCCUAUGAAGGGUGUCAUGAGGUUCGGGAAGAAGGGCAAACUGAGCCCGAGGUUUAUUGGUCCUUUUGAGAUAUUGCGGUGAGUUGGGGAGGUUGCUUAUGAUCUGGCCUUACCUCCCAGCCUAGCAGGAGUUCACCCGGUAUUCCACGUGUAUAUGCUCCGGAAGUAUCACGGUGAUCCGACUCUUGUAUUGGAUUUCAGCUCAGUCCAGUUGGACAAAGAUCUAUCUUAUGUUGAGGAGCCAGUAGCCAUUUUGGACAGGCAAGUCAAAAAGCUCAGGUCAAAGAAUAUUGCUUCAGUAAAGGUCCAGUGGAGGGGUCAGCCGGUCGAGGAGGCGACUUGGGAGACCGAGCAGGAUGUGCACAGCUAGAAACCUCAUCUUUUCAUAGUUUCAGGUAUGUCUUUAUACUCGUUCGAGGACAAAUGAUUGUUUUAAGAGGGGGAGGAUGUAACGACCCGGUCGGUUGUUGUGAGAAUUAGAUCCCCUGAUCCCCUAAUAACUGCUUUCCCCAUAUCUAUUUCUGCUAUUGUGACUUGCCGGGAUGAUUGGUUUUGAGUUUCGGAGUGUUUUGGGACACUUAGUCCCUACACUAGAGCUUAAGCCUUAGGAUUUGGACUGUAGUCGGAACUGUAUGAAGACAACUCCGGAAUGGAAUUCCGUCAGUUCUGUUAGCUCCGUUAGGUGAUUUUGGGUUAAGAGGCGUGUCCGGAUUGUAUUUUGGAGGUCCGUAGCUCAUUUAGGCUUGAAAUGGCGAAAGUCGAAUUUUUGGAGUUUUGGGCCGGUAGUGAAAUUUUUGAUAUCGGGGUCGUUUUUCGAUUCCGGAAGUUGCAGUAGGUCCAUAAUGUUGAUUAUGACUUGUGCGCAAAAAUUUGAGGUCAAUCAGACGUGAUUUGAUAGGUUUCGGCAUCAGUUGUAGAAUUUUGAUGUUUCAAGUUCUUUAAGUUAGAAUUGAAGGGUGAUUCAUGAUUUUAGCAUUGUUUGAUGUGAUUUGAGAGCUCGACUAAGUUCGUAUGGUGUUUUAGGAUUGGUUUUUAUGUUUGGUCGAGGUCCCGGGGGCCUCGGGUGAGUUUCGGACGCCUAACAGAUCGAUAUUUGGACUUAGAAGGUUGCUGAAGUUUUCUGGUGUCUGAGUUUUGGUUUUCUUAUACGCAAUCAUGUAGGGUGAUCCGCGAUCGCGUAGGCUAGCUGGGCAGAGGAUGGAAUUAUUCUUUGCGUUUGCGGACAUGGGCAUGCGAACGCGUAGUGAUGUGAGGUGGUGCUUCGCGAACGCAGAGACAAGGUCGCGAUCGCAUAAGGUUAAGUGUACCAAAGCUGGACAACGCGCUUUGCUCAUCGCGUACACGUGCGGAUGUUCGUGACAUGCGAACGCAUAGUGAUGUGAGGUGGUGCUUCGCGAACGCAGAGACAAGGUCGCGAUUGCGUAGGGUUAAGUGUACCAAAGCUGGAUCACGCGCUUUGCUCAUCGCUAACGCGUGCGGAUGUUCGCGAUCGCGUGAGUAGGGGAGCCAGAGCAUCGCGAUCGCGUAGAGUAAUUUCUGGGACAACAAAGUUGUUCUUUGUGAUCGCGAGGCUAUUUCCGCGAUCGCGAUUAAGGAAUCGCUGGGCAGUGUUAAAGUUUCCAAAAAUGGGGGUUUUGCCAUUUUACUAAAAAAACUUGAAAUAGAGAGCUCGGAUUUGGACGAGAUUUUGAGAAAUUUUCAGAGACAUCAAUUGGGUAAUAAUUCCUAACUCCUUUGUGGUUAUAUCCACUAAUCUAUCAUUAAUUUCCUCUUUAAUUUCGGAUUUUUGGUGUUGAAAUUGGAAAAAAUUUGGAAGAACUUCCUUAACAAAGAUUUCGAGUUUUGAAGGGGAUUUAUGAUCGGAUUUGAGCAAAUUUUAUAUGGUUAGACUCGUGAGCCAAUGGGUGUUCGUAUUUUGUAACCUUUACCCGAUUCUGAGACGUGGGUCCCACAAGCGAUUUUUGAGUUAAUUUCAGAAUUUUCGUUAAAAUGUUGAUUUCGUUAAUUAAAAGAGUCUAUUAUUGUUGUAUUUAUGAUAUGUAAUUGCUUUUGGCUAGAUUUGGGCCAUUUGGAGCCGGAUAUUCGUAGGAAAGGUAUUUGACCGAUUGAUUGAGCUUGGUUCGAGGUAAGUGGCUUGCCUAACCUUGCGUUGGGAACUUUUUUCUUAAGAUGUUUGAUAUUAAUUGAUGUGUGGGCGCCAUGUACGUGAGGUGACGAGUACGUACACGGGCUAUUAUUGCAAAAAUCCCAUUUUUCCUUUCUAAAUCAUAAAUUAUUUUCCCUUAUUAAAUUGCACUAAUACGUUUAAUUGUUUAGCUUAGAUUAGAGGAACAUGCUUACGUGUUUUAACUGCCUAUUUGACAUUCUGUGCGCCAUGCUUAGUUAAGUCCCUAUUUUCCUUAUCUGUAUUCAGUAUAAACUGUAUAACUCGAUGCCAUACCUGUCAUUUCAUCUUGCGUUGCAUAUUUAAAUUGGGACUACGGACGUAUUCCGGGAGAUCCCCCUGUCUUACAUAUUUAAUUUGGGACUACGGACGUAUUUCGGGAUCCCCCAACACUGCAUAUUUACUUUGGGACUACGGACGUAUUUCGGGAGAUCUCCCAGCACUGCAUAUUUACUUUGGGACUACAGACGUAUUCUGAGAAAUCCCUUUGUACUGCAUAUUCAUUUGGAACUAUGGGACGGUAUUCCGGGAGAUUUCCCACUGUGUUUACCUUGUUUUGAGCCGAGGGCUCCCUUAACUGUUAAAUUUUCAAGAAUUUCUUUAACUGUGUUACCGUAAAUUUUACUUAUAUCUUUUACUGUUUAAUUUAUUAUAUUUACUCCUGUAGGGCCUUGACCUAACCUCGUCACUACUCGACCGAGGUUAGGCUUGGCACUUACUGGGUACCAUUGUGGUGUAAUCAUGCCCUUUUCUGCACAUAUUUUCGUGUGUAGAUCCAGGUGCGAGCUAUCAGCCUCGGGGUUAGUGCAUGCUGCUGAUUCUAGGAGACUUCAAGGUACUUCUGCUUGCGUCCGCAGAUCUUCGGAGUCCCCUUCUACUCCCUCGCCUAAAGAUUUUCUUUAUUAUCUUCAGACUUUUGUAUAGAGCUACAUAGAUUAUAGCAGCUUGUGACUUAGUGAUAUUCCGGAUCUUGGAAAAUUAUUUUGUAUAUGUCGAGUGGUACUACUCUUGGCUAUUCACAAUAUGCUGUUUAUCUUUAAAAUGUUGUGUUUUCUUUAUAUAUUUUUUCGUAAUAUUAGGCUUACCUAGUCGUAAAGACUAGGUGUCAUCACGACACCUUACGAAGGGUUAAUUUGGCUCGUGAUAAAAGUAGCAAUUGCUAAAACAUGCUGGGACUUAGCUCAUAAACAGGACAAACUAUGGAUAAGGUGGAUCAAUGCUUACUACAUCAAACUGCAGCAGCUACAGCAUAUGCCAAUCCAACAUCAAGCAAGUUGGAUGGUGAGAAGAAUAAUUGGAUCAAGAGUUACCAUGUUGCAGGCACAGAACUUAAGUGAUCACAACAAGAGCAUUAUCAGACAAAUAUACCAAGAGUGAGCUAGAAAUGUCUAGUCUUUCAUAAUUCUGCAAGACCAAAGGCAGUCUUCACUAUGUGGCUGUUACUCCAUGGAAGACUACCUACUAAAGAUAGGCUAGUCAACUGGGGCUUAAAUGUCACCCCUCAUUGUGUUAUGUGUCAAGGUCAGGUUGAAUCAAGGGGGAGGCNNNNNNNNNNNNNNNNNNNNNNNNNNNNNNNNNNNNNNNNNNNNNNNNNNNNNNNNNNNNNNNNNNNNNNNNNNNNNNNNNNNNNNNNNNNNNNNNNNNNNNNNNNNNNNNNNNNNNNNNNNNNNNNNNNNNNNNNNNNNNNNNNNNNNNNNNNNNNNNNNNNNNNNNNNNNNNNNNNNNNNNNNNNNNNNNNNNNNNNNNNNNNNNNNNNNNNNNNNNNNNNNNNNNNNNNNNNNNNNNNNNNNNNNNNNNNNNNNNNNNNNNNNNNNNNNNNNNNNNNNNNNNNNNNNNNNNNNNNNNNNNNNNNNNNNNNNNNNNNNNNNNNNNNNNNNNNNNNNNNNNNNNNNNNNNNNNNNNNNNNNNNNNNNNNNNNNNNNNNNNNNNNNNNNNNNNNNNNNNNNNNNNNNNNNNNNNNNNNNNNNNNNNNNNNNNNNNNNNNNNNNNNNNNNNNNNNNNNNNNNNNNNNNNNNNNNNNNNNNNNNNNNNNNNNNNNNNNNNNNNNNNNNNNNNNNNNNNNNNNNNNNNNNNNNNNNNNNNNNNNNNNNNNNNNNNNNNNNNNNNNNNNNNNNNNNNNNNNNNNNNNNNNNNNNNNNNNNNNNNNNNNNNNNNNNNNNNNNNNNNNNNNNNNNNNNNNNNNNNNNNNNNNNNNNNNNNNNNNNNNNNNNNNNNNNNNNNNNNNNNNNNNNNNNNNNNNNNNNNNNNNNNNNNNNNNNNNNNNNNNNNNNNNNNNNNNNNNNNNNNNNNNNNNNNNNNNNNNNNNNNNNNNNNNNNNNNNNNNNNNNNNNNNNNNNNNNNNNNNNNNNNNNNNNNNNNNNNNNNNNNNNNNNNNNNNNNNNNNNNNNNNNNNNNNNNNNNNNNNNNNNNNNNNNNNNNNNNNNNNNNNNNNNNNNNNNNNNNNNNNNNNNNNNNNNNNNNNNNNNNNNNNNNNNNNNNNNNNNNNNNNNNNNNNNNNNNNNNNNNNNNNNNNNNNNNNNNNNNNNNNNNNNNNNNNNNNNNNNNNNNNNNNNNNNNNNNNNNNNNNNNNNNNNNNNNNNNNNNNNNNNNNNNNNNNNNNNNNNNNNNNNNNNNNNNNNNNNNNNNNNNNNNNNNNNNNNNNNNNNNNNNNNNNNNNNNNNNNNNNNNNNNNNNNNNNNNNNNNNNUGUUAUUUUCUUACGUUUGUUGACUAGAAUUGGAGAGAGUUUGUGUUUGAACUAUCAGCUUUUUUGAGAUAUUUUUGGGUUUAACAGAUACUUAAAUGAUUAAUUUCAAUAACUCCAAAGAUGCUACGCUAAAGGGCACUACAUUUUACUACGCUAAAAGGGCACUACAUUACAAAUACAAGCACUACAUUAGGGCACAAGAUAGACAUGGAACUAAAGUAAUAAUUUAUCUAUUUUACUAAUCUUUUAGCAAAUAAAUAAUCUAAAUCGGAUAAAAAUAACAAAUUAAUUUAAUCACAAAACAAUCACGAAAAAAGAUAUACCACAGUAAAAAUUAACUAAUUAGUAUUUUUUUAACAACUAAUAAUAAUUUCUCAAUUUUACUAAUUUUUUUAGUACACUAAUAAUAUAGUCCGGAUAAAAAAUAACAAAUUAAUUAAAUCGCAAAACAAUCACGAAAUAACAUAUAGCACAUUAACAACAACUAAUAGGCAUUUUUUAUACAUGAGUUUAAACAAAAACUAAGUCGGAAUACCUCGAUUUUAAUUUUUUAGAAACUUGAAGAUUUGGUGAUUUGGAGCCGAAACGAGCAACCCACUACGAGAUAACGCCUUAGUUAGGAUGUGAGACCGAGAAUCUACACUUUUUGUGGGAGCGGUGGGCUCCAACCGAGUUUUUUUUGCUUAAAAAUGGGGGGGGGGGGGAGCUCACUGGUUUGGUGGAGAAGGAGAGUGGACGCGUUUUUAUCUAGGUAUAGCGCCUUAUAUUAAGACGCUAUAGUAUACGUCUUAAUAUAAGGCGUUAUACCUUCCCGCUCAUUUUACGUUCAAAUAUAGCGCCUUAUAUUAGGGCGCUAUACUUAAUUGGGCAAACGAUUGUUAAGGUAUAUGGUCUUAAGCUUGGGCGUUAUAUAUAUUUUGGUUCCCAAUUUUUUUUCCACAUAUUUUAAUUCUUUGAGUUUAAAAGAGCCACAUUUUGGUUGAGGAGCCUCAAUUAUCUUGCCCUACAUAUGGUUAGAACAAUAAAUUUACAAAUCAGUUUCUCUUCAUAGAAAAAUUUCAAUUAACUUUAGUUUCCUUCCCAAAUAAAGUAUAUCAGACGAAAAAGACAGAUUGACGUUUUGUAGAAAAAAACAACAAAAACGGGAAGCUGUCUUUUUGUUCUUUUCACGUCACGGGAGUUAUAAGGAAAUUAAAUAUUUGUGCCAAUUAUUUAAUUAAUCUCAAACUACAUUUACCAUAACUGGUUGCUGGCAAUUCGAUAACGAAAAUAUCAACCUUGGUAACUAUUGGGUUUUCUUGAAUUGCGAAUUGAUUGGAGUAACCAUUAGGCACAAAUAAAUUUUUUCUAUAUAAUACUCCCAUUCCAUGAUCAAAAUUCCUUUUUAAUUUAGGCAAUUCAACGUUUUUUUUUUAUUUUUUUUUUUUUGUUGUUGUUGUUGUUGUUGAUAAGUUAGGAUUUUUCAUAGUGAUCGAUAGGGGUGUCAAGGUUCGGUUCGAUCGGUUAUUUUAUAAAAUUUGUAUUAUACCAAUUUUUCGGUUAUUCUAUUAUAUAUAUCUAAAAUUAAACUUUUCGAAACCGCUCCAAUUAUAUCGGAUUCUCUUCGGUAUCGGUACGGUUAAGUUAAUUUUUGUUUUUUAAAAAUGUCAUGUAAAAGUCACUAGUAAAAGUAGAAUGCAAUAUAUACAUACUUUUAUGGGGCUUAGCAUAACACUCUAGAUAGUUUUACUGUUUAAAUGGUGAUGGUUUAAGAAACAUGAAAGAUGGCUAGAGUAUAGAUCCAUCAACUACUCUACAACAACGUAAAAGAAACUAAGCAAAGACAAAAGAUAAAUCAUACGAGUAGAAAGAUAUUAAACAAGUCGAGACUCAAGAAUAAAGUCUAUAAAAGAUUAAAUAUUCAAAAAAAUAAAUCUAAAUCAUACGAAAGGAAACAUAUUCAAUACAUUGUUGUUGCUACUCAUAAUCGCUAGAAUACUUUGUGUCUUGCUAGUGAAUAUGCUGGAAAUAAUUUAAUUUCGGUAGAAGUAGCAUAAUAGGUUUGGGAAUUAUAAUUUUGAUUUUAAUUACUUAUUGGCUUGUAACCGUUUUCAUAAUUUCAAGCCCCAAGGAAAAAUUUAAUGCUUUAUUAUUUUUAAACUUAAUAUAUAAAUAUAUUUUUUAUAUAUAAAUUUAUUGGGUACGGUUCGGUAUUUUUUCGGUUUAUUUUCAUAAAAUAAAAAACUUGUCCUAAUUAUCGGUACAUUUGUAGAUUUGUAUAAGAAUUUAUGGAAUUAUUAAAAGAAACCUAAAAAUCGGUUAGGUGCAAUACGAUUCGGUUUAGUCGAUUUUUAAAUAUCCACUAAUACCCUAGUGAUCGACACCCGAUGUUUACACGCAAAAUAUGUGUCUUUCAUAUAUACACGAUAAAAUAUUAUAUGUUUUUCCACUUUAAUUUGAUUGCUAAAGCAAAUCUUUUUUUUCAGAAUUAAAUUGGACAUAAGUAACUCAUAUUUUCAAAAUAAAAUAUAAAUAAGCAAAAGCUACACAAAUAGAGUAUCCGUCCCCAUAUCAAAGUUACGAAGGCCAAAGGAUGGCAAUCAUAUUCGACUAUAUUCGACUAGAUGGUCAGGAGAUCCAUCCAAUGAUCCAGGUACUCCCAAAUCACUGACCUUGGUUAUUUAGCACUAUCUAUGCUAGUACUGACGUUAAUAAUAGGCAACAAUUAUGGCAAAACCUAGAGAAUAUAGCCAAUCAAUACAAAGGAAUGUGGUUCUUAGGAGGGGACUUUAAUGAGGUUAUUAGUCAAGAAGAAAAGUAGGGAGACCGAUUAAUAGAAAUAGAGUCUCUCGCUUUCAAUCUUGUGUUAACCACUGUAAUCUCAUAGAUCCUGGCUUUAAAAGAGCAAAAUACACUUGGUCUAAUCAUAGAUAUAAUCGUGCUAACCUAAUCCUUGAACGGCUUGAUAGAUGCUUUGUUAAUGAAAAUUGAUUAGAGUAUUACCCCAAUGCAAGCGUUACUCGCCUAUGAAAAACGUACUCUAACCAUAACCCCUACUUAUUUCCCUCUUUCAGCACAAUAGAAAUCCCAAUCCACGCAUUUUUCGACUUGAAACAUAUUGGUGCCACCAUCCAGACUUCAACUCCAUAAUUCUUGAUAACUGGAAUGGUCAAACCCUACCAAAUGCCACUACCCUUUUUACGGAAAAUGUUAAAAAAUGGGCAGCCACUUCUUUUGGUAAUGUUGUACAAAAGAAAAAGCAAAUCCUUGAGAGACUUGGUGGCCUUGAGAAAUCUUGGCACUAUCCUACUAGUAAUUUCUUGAAGGAACUUGAGCAUUCCUUAAGCAAUGACUAUAAUAAUAUUCUUAAAAUUGAGGACUAUUGGAAACUUAGGUCAGUAUUAAUUGGCUAAGCGAGGGGGACGCGAGCACUAAAUUCUUUCAUAUAAGUGUUCUCAAUAGAAGGCGUAAAAACCGUAUCUCUUUCUUCAAAGACGACCAAAACAACUGGAUUAAUAUCCAUGAUAGAAUCCUUGACCAUACCUUCACAUACUUCCAGAAUAUGUAUCAAACAAACCAUGACCUGACUAAUUAGGCUGAUAUGAAAUCCUCCACAAACUCCCUAUCAUACACAGAUUUAGUAUCCCUGGACAAACCGUUACAAAAUUACGAGAUUACUAGGGCUAUAUUCUCCUUCAAACCGUUCAAAGCACCAGGCCCUGAUGGUCUACAUUAUUUUUUUUUACCAAAAAUAUUGGCACAUCGUUAAGCAUACUGUUUUUGAUUAUUGCCACUCCUUAUUUGAGACCCUCACCAUCCCGGAGAAUCUUAAUACUACCUAUCUUUGUUUAAUUCCAAAAUUCCCAAAUGCAAAUAACCUCAAGAAUUUUCGUCCUUUGCAAUACAAUAUACAAAGUUAUUACGAAAAUUAUUGUUAACUGUAUCAAACCAUUCCUUGAUAGCCUAAUUGGCCCAUUCCAAUCCAGCUUCCUUAAAGGGCGACGAGCUUCGGAUAACGCUAUCAUCAUUCAGGAAAUUAUUCAUCCCUAUAAUAAAUUAAAGGGAUCCAAUGGGAAACUCCUUUUAAAAAUUGAUUUAAAGAAAGAUUUUGACCGACUUGAAUGGUCAUUCAUAUGUAGAGCCCUAAACAACUACAAAUUUUCCUCUCGUAUCACUAAGCUUAUCAUGUCUUGUAUUACCACCUCCCGUAUUGCCGUUCUUGUGAAUGGCUCUCAAACAGAGUUCUUCAAGCCAUCAAGUGGAAUGAGACAAGGCGACCCUAUGUCGCCGUAUAUUUUUGUGUAUUGAACUUCUUUCUAUCCUCAUUAAUCAUCAAAGUGGAUUUAAUACUUUGGGAUCCCGUUAAAUUAAGUCCAAGAGGACCUCCCAUAUCCCAUUUAUUUUUUACGGAUGAUUUAACCCUAAUGGCUAAUGCCAAUGAGAAAUUCGCCACCACAAUCAAGAGCUGCCUAGAGUACUUCAGCUCCCUAUCAGGGCAAAAAAUCAACCUUACAAAAUCCAAGCUCAUUUUCUCAAAGAAUUCCUCUACUACCCUCAAAAAUUCCAUUUCAAACAUUCUUAAUAUCAAAGUCGGUGAUACCUUUGGGAAAUUCCUAGGCUUUUCAAUUCUUAAUCAUAAGCCUAGACCAAUUGACUUUAAAUUCAUCCUAGACAAUUUAAAUAAAAGAUUGUCCAGCUGGAAACUCAAUUUCUCUCACUUGCAGGAAGAGCAACCCUAGUUCAAACUACCCUUAAUGCCCUUCCAAACUAUGUAAUGCAAUACAUUAUUCUGCCUAGAGCGAUCCACAAACAUAUUGAUAAAAUACAAAGAGAUUUUUUAUGGGGUAGUAACCAAAAUUCCAGAAAAAUCCACUACAUAAAUUGGGACAGUGUCUUAAUGCCAAAAGGUGCUGUGGGACUUGGAAUAAGAAAAGCCAAAGAUAAAAAUAUUGCCAUUAUUACUAGCCUUACUUGAAGACUAUUUAGCCAUCCAUCCACCGCUUGGGUGAAAGUUCUAACCUCCAAAUAUGUUGGUAGAUACUCUAAGAAUACUCAUUCCUUUAUCUGGAGUAACAUCCUCAUGGGUUGAAAAAUUUGCGAACAAGCCAUUGUUUGGAAUAUCGGGAAUGGCAAGAACAUUGACUUCUGGCAUGCAAAUUGGCUACCUUGUACUAAAAACCUGCGUAGCAUGAUUCAAGGCCCCCUCUCAAACAAUGAUUUGCAACUCAAAGUUUGAAAUAUUAAAAUAAAUAACAUAUAGGACUUGUCAAACCUCUCUUUCGAACUUCCACCCCAUAUCUCAAACGAAAUUCUCUCCUUACAAAUAACCAAUGGUUAUAACAACAUUGAUGUACCAAUGUGGGUCCCUACCACAGAUGGUAUAUUCACCACCAAAUCCGUUUACCCCCUUAUAGCUCCCAAUAUAGUACUAAAUCAAAGCAAAGACUUCAAAUGGUUUGGAAGUAAAAAACUUGGAAUAAGAUCAAGUAUUUCUUAUGGCAAUGCUACCAUGAUCGAUUACCCACCAAAAGCUACCUAAGUCAUAUUGGUAUUAGUAUAUCAAUAUACUGCUCCAUUUGUAACUUAGUAGAAGAAUCGCCCCAACAUAUCUUCUCUUCUGCCCCAUGGCCACCUCCUUAUGGCAAGAGCUGGGUAUUAACACACAAUCACUAGACAUACAAAAUAUCCAUUGUCUCGAAGCUCUCUAUAAAAUUGACCCACAGGUUAAUUAUCACUCCUUAACUUGGGAUUGCCUCUUCUCCUUUGCAAUUUGGCACUUGUGGUUGAAUAGGAAUAGGAACACUUUCCACAGACUUUGCCAACCUCUUAAUCGAAACCUUGUAAUCUCUAGAAGUCUUGAAUACCUCCAUUGUAGUAACAUUACUUGUGGUAACCUAGACAGACCCUAACAGUACUACCUAAGUGGGACCCCCCUUCCAUGAACCAAAUAAAGCAUAACUGGUUUUACUAAAUCCCAUUAUCCAAUCCCCAUUUAGAGAUAAUAAUGGGGAUUGGAUAAUGGGAUUUAGUAAAACCAGUUAUGGUCCAUCUCCACUAUCCAUGGAACUACAUGCAUUAUGCUAUGGAUUGCAACUAGCAAACGAUCAUAACUUGACCAACCUUCAAAUUGAAACAGACUCAACGUCCGUACCAAUCCUAUUUGAAACUUCAAAUUAUCCAUCAUAUAAUGCACUAAUCUCUGAUUGCAGGUACUGGCUGAGGAGGUUGGGGAAUCCACCAAUCCAACAUAACUUCCGAGAAGGAAACAAAGUAGCACAUGAACUAGCACAACAAUGAGUCAAGCAAGCCAACGUCUACUAUUCUCAAGUAUAUCCAUCCGUACCAGAAUUUCUAAUGGAUGCAAUCCAAGCUAAUAAGGCAUCACUACUACUAGGAUCAAUACCACCAACGUUGUUGUUUCAAAUGAAAACUCUGCUAUGACAUCUUUUAGCUGUAAUAGUGCUAGUACUAGUAUAAAUAAGUCUGCUCCCAAUGGGAGGACAAUGUAUUGUUACUCUUCUAACUAUUUGUUAAUAAACUAUCUUUUACUACCCAAAAAAAAAGUUACGAAGGAAUACAUUCUAAGUAUUUUAGUCGAAAAUUACUUAGUUUAACUCUUGACUAAAGAGAAAUAGGAUAACCAUUUGAGAGGAGGGAGUUGUGCUGUAAUAUAUUUACAAAAUUUGAAGAAUUCAUAUUAGUUUAAGAAAUUCAAACUUAAAUUUUAAUGAAUGUUUUCUCUAUCGAGCUAAUUAUUUUACAAACAGUUUAAUAUUUUUUUCACCACUACUAAUAUACUAUUAUAAUUUAAUUGAUAAUCAAUUCUGUUUAUAACUAUAAUUGCUAAAUUAUGAAGUUUUUCCUUCGGUUGUUUAUUUUCGCUCAUAACUAUAUUUUAAGGUUAAAGGGUUAUGGUUUCAACAACUGAUAUUAUUUGCAUUUAAAAAUUUAGGUAGCACUAGGACAAAUUUUAGAAGUUCUUAAGAUAUUACCAAAAGGAAAAUAGUACCAUCUCCCCAUUUAAAAGAUAUUGCUACCAAAGGACCUUAAAAAGAACAGAAACUUUAUUCACUGAUCAUUUUCUGAGAUUUAGCGCGCUUCGAAAAACUUUAAUUCUUUGCAUAUAUUCAAUGAAGGUACGUAUAGUAUAUAGUUUCUUGAAAUGUCUCACCAAUUGAUUACUACAUCACGAGACAAGAGUCAAGAGAUUGAUGUCAAUGAGAGAAUCCGAAAUCAAAGUAAUGACCAAUUAAACUCAAGCGACCAAACUAGGAGGGGGAAAAGGCAGAACAAUAUUACCUAUAUUCAUGCGCACAAUAUUACCUAUAUUCAUGCGCUAUACGUCUCUCCCCUAGGCGGUCUAAGUUAAUGACCAAUUGUAUGUUGGUUUGUUCAUAACUAGUAUAGCCUUCGUUAGCAAAAUUCAUGUCUGGCCGAUACGCCCUAUGAAAGAAACACAUAUUAUUAUUAUAAGCAAAAAGACAAAUAAUAAUACGACAAAUAGUAAGUAAGUAUAUAUUUACCACUUAGCUUGUGAAGAUUGCCAAUUUGUCGGCUCAACAUGGUGCAGCAUUGGCGAGAAGUUGUAUCCUCAUUUCUCGUUAAGCCGUGGAGAUACGUUCAGAUCAGGUCACACUCUUUCAUACGUAACUUGUUAUGAUAAAAUAACUCUAAAAUUACCCCCAGAUGGUUGAGUAUUAGCCAUUGUUUGCGGAUCCUCAUUCCAAUUCACAACUUCGAAGCUUACUUACAUUUCCAACAUGUUUAUCACAAGAACAUCCCUUUAUUCGUUCGAAGUCCUUAAAAAAUCUUGCAGCAUUUCAUCGUCAUUGUUAUAGAAGUCGGCAUAAAAACCCACUCAUUGCGGUGUAAGAGAAUACAGAUACCAAUAUUUGGUAGGGGUGUCGAUGUUUCGGUUCGAACGAUUAUUUUAUAAAAUUUGUAUCAUACCAAAUUUUUGGUUAUUUUAUUAUAUAUAACCAAAAUUAGACUUUUCGAAACCGUCCCAAUCAUGUUGGUUUCUCUUCGGUAUCAAUACGGUUCGGUUAAUUUUUGGUAUUUUUAUUAAUGUUAAGAAAAAGUCACUAGUAGAAGUAGAAUGCAAUAACAUACGCACUUUUAUAGAACUUCGCAAAACUCUCUAGACAUUUUACUGUUUAAAGGGUGAUGAAUUAAGAAAACAUGAAAUAUGGCGAUGACCAGAGUAUUAAAUCCAUCAACUAUUCUACAACAGCAUCAAAGAAACUAAGCAAAGACAAUAAAAAUAUAAAUCAUACGAAUGAAAAGUUAUUAACAAAGCUGGGAUUCAAAAAUAAAAUAUAUGGAAGAUUAAAUAUUCAAAAAGAUAAAUUUAAAUCAUACGAAAGGAAACAUAUUCAAUACAUUGCAGUUUGCUACUCAUAAUCGCUAGAAUACCUUGUAUCUUGCUAGUGAGUAUGCUGAAAAUAAUUUAGUUUCAACAGGAGUAGCAUAAUAGUUUGGGGAAUUAAGAUUUUGAGCUUAAUUAUUCGUUAGCUUUUAUCCAUUUUUAUAAUUCCAAUGCGAAAAAAAUAAAUUAGUGCAUUAUUAUUUUUAAACUUAAUGUAUAAAUAUAUUUUCUACAUGUAAAUUUAUUCGGUACGGUUUAGUAUUUUUUCGAUUUAUUUUCACAAAAUAAAAAACCUAUCCUAAUUAUCGGUACAGUUAUAAAUUUAUAUAAAAACCUACGGUUUUAUUAGAAGAAAUCUAAAAGAUCGGUUCGGUUCGAUACGAUACGGUUCGGUGGGUUUAGUCGGUUUUUAAAUAUCCGUUGACACCCCUAAUAUUUGGUACUCCAAUGUUAUUGGUAAAUUAACAAUACUUUGUAGAGAACAACUACAGUGUACUGAAUUAUUCUCUUCCACAACGUUACUGCCCCAGUAUAAUGCAAUCCUAACUCGUUGUUCAUCUGUCAUUGUGGAAAGAAUUAAAGGAAACUUUGUAUAGAUUGGUGAAGAUGAAGAAAAAUAUAGAUAAUGCUGAAGAACAAAGGCAAAUUCGCUUCAAAUUCACUCAAGAUUGACUUCUUCAAGAAUGGAAAUCCGGCAUAUGUAAGUCGUAUGAUCAGUCGGGCGUAAAUAAAAGUGUCUUUGGCACAUGAAAAAUGUACAUACUAUAGAUACUUUGCAGUAUAAUUAUCAGGGCAGUGAUUCAGAAAGUCAGAAAAUUUAGACAAUAAAAAGGAAUCAUAUGGCGUAUGAAUUUAACUAGUGCAUAGAGUCAUAAACUGUAAUAUUCUUAAUUAAAGUACUCAAUAAUACAAAACUAAAAAUGUUUGUUGACAAAAGUUUUGUCCAAAACCAGCAAAUAUCAACCAAAGAGAGAAAACUGUAGAUAAAGGAAUAAAUUUAAUCACUAGAAAUGUCUUGUUACACUCUUAGAGUUAAUUGAUGAACUUGGAGAAUAAAGAAAAGUAAAAUUUUAAUUUUUUUAUAUUUAUAUUAUAAUUAAUAAUACGUAUUAUGUAAUAUAAUAUAUAUUUUGGUACGAUAUCGGUAUUUCAAUAUUUCAUUUUAAAAUACCAAAUACCAUACUUAAUACGAAUUUUAUUUUAAAACUUAAAUCAAAUAAUACCAUAACAAAUACCAAAAUAUCGAAUCCUAAUACCAAAAUGUAAUUCGGUAUUACAAAAUUAUGCGCAACUCUAAUUAUAAGUAAUGUAGGUAUGAAACUUUGGUAGGCGCGCAGCCAAGAAUAAAAAACUUAAAGUCAACUACGGUGUCUGUCAGCAUUUAAUGUCAGAAGUGACCCUAACUUAAUUUAAAAAAACUUAAUUUAAGUUUUAUCAAAUUUUAACAAAAUUUUACACCUUUUUAUUAUUUGGCCGAACCCAAGAAGUUUCUCGCCGUUUUCAUAUUAUCAACGGAAGCAAACAAAAAACUCAUAAUCCACUGGUAACUUUUAAGUAAUGUGAUUAUAUAAGGUUCUUUUUUUUCUUUUCUUUUUUUACAAAUUCAGAUAUAAAAGGCAGAAUAGCCUAAAUGAUACUUAUACUUGUGUCAUUUUGUCAUCUCGGUUCUUCUACUUAAUUUAUUUUUAUCCAAACUCUUUUACUUUAUCAAAACUUAUAUUUUAAACUCUUAUGACCGUUGACCGAUCAUAUGUGACAACAUUAUAGCUGAGUUGGACAACAAGCGUGUAAUUCACGCGUACAACGAGACAUAAAAAAUUGGCCUAAGAUAUGAUUGAACUAAGAAGAAAAUAAUAAUAAAAUUAAAAAAAAGAAAAAUUUAAAGAAAGUAAACUAAACCCCCUUCCCGUUCUUCCCCAAAACCCAUCUCCCAUUUCUAUUUCUUUUUCUCUUUCUUCCCAUUCCCGUUCUCUUCCCCCCCAACCCACACCUCCUCCUCCAACCACUCUCCUNNNNNNNNNNNNNNNNNNNNNNNNNNNNNNNNNNNNNNNNNNNUCCCCUUCCCGUUAUCACCCCUCCCCCCCACCUGCAUCCCCCUUUCCCGUUCUCCCUGCCAAUUUUCACCCAAAAAUCAUUUUACCUUGAACCUAUUCUUAUCCAACAAACAAAAACCAUUGUAAUUUCCAGAUCACACUUUUCUAAAGAGUAAAGAAUGGGUUGUUCGAUUUUAAUGAAGAAGUGAAUCUGCUUUUUUGAAGAAAAAAAAUAUUAAGUUUAUCUAGAAAUGAAGUGUGUUUUUUGUCAAUAAUAAGAAACCAAUGUAGAAUGAAGGGUGAUCUCCAAAUUUUAAUGGUGUUCUCUGGUGGCCGGAGGAAUUAUCCGGCGAUGGCAGUGGUGGAGUUGUUGGCAGCAAGGAAAAGAGAUGGUGGAGCAGGGGAAAAAAUAAAGAUAAAGUCAAUAGUUUAUUUUCAUACGAAAGAGAAUGUAUUACACGCACUGAUAACCGUUUAUCAUAAGCGUUUAUUAUACACGAUUUGAACGAGGGUAAGUGUUCAAAUUAUAAAAUACUAAGUUUGGGGACAAGUUUAGGGACCGAGAGGACAAGUGACACAAUUGUCAUUUAGGCUAUUCUAAAGUCACACUACUUACUAGGAGUGUACUUUUUAAGGAUUUAUCAUUUAAGUUACGCAACCUAACACUGUAAAUGAUUUUACACGAACAAUGUUAUGUCGUUUCACUAAUUGUAACCUUUUAUGCAUUAUACUUUCUAUGUCACAAUCCACCAUUAUUAUUGACAACUAAUAUGGACGGCUUUAAAUGAUUUGAAUUUUGAGAGUUCAUAUAAAAAUUUACCCUCUUUAAUUGACCAUUUGAAUCAAAUUGUAGAACAUACAAUUUUAGCUUUAAUGUUUUCAAUUGAUGUCAUCACUCCAGAUGGAAAUUUAGAUAGUGGAGAAAUAAAUGCAUACACCCACCUCAACUACUCAUCUUAAUUACCCCUUCACUUUCCCCUUUAUAACUGAAAGGAACUAAAAAAUAAUUCAAUCUCACUUCUUAGUUCUUAUCCUAUUACAGCCUCUGAACACUUAAAACAGCAAUGGCAGAGCACAAGAUUAUAGCAGAAAACACCAUAGAAGAUGCCUACAAGUUCCUCAACAUUACCCAAAAUCCAGAUGGCUCUCUCACUAGAAAAUACCCAUUUCCUAAUGUACCUCCAAAUCCAGAAAAUGAUCCAAAUUCACAACUUCUUUCACUCUCUAAAGACAUUCCUCUUAAUCCCACUUCAAACACCUUCAUUCGCCUCUUUCGGCCCGUUAAUCCGCUGCCUAACACUAAAUUACCGUUGAUCAUAUACUUCCACGGCGGUGGCUUUAUACUCUUUAGUGUGAGUUCUAUUAUUUUCCAUGAAUCUUGUAAUGCUAUGGCAGCUCAGUUCCCUGCAUUGAUUGCUUCCGUAGAGUAUCGUCUCGCCCCCGAACACCGCCUUCCGGCCGCGUACGACGACGCCAUGGAUGCCAUUAACUGGGCUAAAGAUCAAGCUCUUAGUAGUGGUGAUCAUGUUGAUCCAUGGUUGAAAGAGUUUGUUGAUUUUUCAAAAAUUUUUUUGAUGGGUAGUAGUGCGGGAGGAAAUAUUGUGUACCAUGCAGGUCUACGUGCAGUCGAUCUUGAUCUUGAUCCGAUCAAGAUCGUAGGGCUGAUUAUCAAUCAGUCCUACUUUGGUGGGAUUCAGAGAACAGAAUCUGAACUUAACUUUGUUAAUGAUAAGGUUGUGCCUUUGCAUGCAAAUGAUCUGAUGUGGUCACUUGCAUUGCCUAACGGUGUAGAUCGCGAUCACGAGUAUUCUAAUCCGUUUAUUACUGAGACUAAAUUGAAAGAGAUGAUCGGACGGCUGCCGAGGUGUAUGAUCAGAGGGUAUGCAAGGGAUCCACUGGUUGAUAGGCAGAAGAGGUUUGCUAAGAUGGUAGAGUCACAUGGUGUGCACGUGACUUCUCAGUUUCUUGAAACUGGACAUCAUGCUGCUGAGAUAUUUGAUCCCAAGAGUGCUCAAGAUUUGUAUGAUUCUAUCAAGGAAUUCAUCAAAUCUAGUUGCGAUGAAAAUGUGGGCAAAUCAGCCAUGUGAAAAUUUGCUUUGAAGUCAAUUGGGAUCAUUAAUGUUUUAACUUCUUUAUAGCUUUUACAAUUAAGAUAAAGGAGAAGGUUUAAUGUAAGUUAGUUGGACUUAAUAAGUAUUGUUAAGACAUCAUUACACAAUGUGACUAGGUCGCAAAUUUACAUAAAUGUCUAAUAAAAACAAAUAUGUCACUGUUCAAAAUUAACAAUAUCUCAACUUUGAGUUAUAUCUAAUUUCGGGUCAAUGGUGCAUUUGGAAAUAAUUAGUACUAGUAUAAUUGAAGUAUCCACUGGGAUAAAAGUUCAUCUUAAUUACUGUAUAUGUCGUCAAAUUGUAAGUUUCAACUUUCAACAGCCUUCUUGAUAUAGCACUUUCACCGUUUCACGUUAUUGCAUUCUUCGUUUCUUCAAAAAUUAUAUAUAUAUAUANNNNNNNNNNNNNNNNNNNNNNNNNNNNNNNNNNNNNNNNNNNNNNNNNNNNNNNNNNNNNNNNNNNNNNNNNNNNNNNNNNNNNNNNNNNNNNNNNNNNNNNNNNNNNNNNNNNNNNNNNNNNNNNNNNNNNNNNNNNNNNNNNNNNNNNNNNNNNNNNNNNNNNNNNNNNNNNNNNNNNNNNNNNNNNNNNNNNNNNNNNNNNNNNNNNNNNNNNNNNNNNNNNNNNNNNNNNNNNNNNNNNNNNNNNNNNNNNNNNNNNNNNNNNNNNNNNNNNNNNNNNNNNNNNNNNNNNNNNNNNNNNNNNNNNNNNNNNNNNNNNNNNNNNNNNNNNNNNNNNNNNNNNNNNNNNNNNNNNNNNNNNNNNNNNNNNNNNNNNNNNNNNNNNNNNNNNNNNNNNNNNNNNNNNNNNNNNNNNNNNNNNNNNNNNNNNNNNNNNNNNNNNNNNNNNNNNNNNNNNNNNNNNNNNNNNNNNNNNNNNNNNNNNNNNNNNNNNNNNNUAGAGGUGAAUUCAAAAUUUUAAAGUGUUUUUUAGGCUUUUUAACACAUAAUCAUUCCUCAUCCAAUGUUAUUACUUGAAAAAAAAAAAAUAGAAAGACAGAAUUGAAAGAAGGCUUGGGAGGGUGUAAAUUCCCUGUCCUCGAAGAAAUGUUGUUCAUAGGAGUAUUUAUUAUUUAGAGAAAUACAAGCAAGUCCCUCUAGGAUCCAGCAAAUCCACAAUUUACGUUGUACAAAUUAACUAGAUUACUUGUUUAAGGAAGACUUCAAUUAAUAGAGCUUGAAACAGGAUGUUCUAACUUCUAAAUGAUCAUAAUUUCAUGAACAUUCAUGGUCAUUCUUUUUGGUAAGAAAAAUAAGUAGAUAAUAUUGACCAAGAACAAGAAGGAAACAAAAAUAAUUUAUCAAAAAAUAUUGUAUUGUGGCAAGUCGCUGCCUUGAAAGCGAUAUCGGUCCGACUAGGUAUAAAUUGUUAAAACCGGUUGCUCCCCAAAGUUCCACAAUACCUCCAAACACUAGCACUAGUGGUUGAAUGUUUAGAAUUUGCACAAUUGCCGAGAAAUCGGUUGAAGAAGAAGAGUAGAUUAAGUUAUUUUUUUGUGUUUGAAAACUUCACAAAAUAACCCCUAAUAUAGAUAAGAUGCUAGAGCUGUUAUAAGAAAGAGAAUUAAAUUGGGGGUUAUAAAAAUAAAUGAGCUAUUACAGAAUUCAAGUAGCAGUUACAACCAUUUAAAGUAUAGCUGUUACAAAGUCAGACGUUAUUAAAUUCAAUUCAAAGAGAAUGAAUUUGGACAUAUUCUCGUAAGCAUGUAUUUGGAUACUUUUCUGGUAAGCUCAAAAAUUGAAGAAAAAUUUGUAGCAGAACCAAAUUUGGAUUAGGCCUCACGUAUAUCUCGCGGGGGAGGGGCAAAUCGACCAGUUUGCCUUCAGGACCAAUUUCUAAUGUGCGUGAGGCCACCCCCUUUUACUAGCUCUUUACAAGCCCAACAAAGAGCAAUUCAAUAUAAAGAGAGAAAAAAGACUUUCCACAGCCAAUGAGGAAUACUUUGUCUUUCACAAAUGACAAAGAAUUGAAGAAGAAAAAGGACCACAAAGAAAUAUUUGACUUUGCAUUACCAAGUAUAAAUAAUACCAAUAAUCCCCCACUAAUGCAAAGAUAAAAUUAGAAUAAGAAUAAUUCUAGGCAAAAGAAGGAACAUGUACUUAAGUGUCAAUAUCUUUUGAUUUGAAUUGACACAUAGUGAAAUGAGGCAAUAACUAACAUCCACAAAGUGAAGUACUCUUGAACUGAAUGAAUAUUAGUUGAGACCCCCACAACACAUAUUAUAUCCUUAAUUUUAUGCAAAUUUCGCGAUACUAACAAAAUUACUUUUAUGGUCAUGCACAUACCUUGGGUCUCAUGAGUGCUCCAGAAAGACAUCCCAAGUCUUUCAUAAAAGACGACCCCAUAUUUACACUCACGUAGGUGAUUCCAUCAAGUCUAUCUACACAUAGACCACCUUAAGACUAUGGAAUCAUUAAGAGCAGAAUAAACUCAAUCUUAUAAAGCACUACCACACGCCAUAGGGAUAGAAAAUGUAGUGCAUAUUGAGGUCUCAUAUGGUUUCAUUUGACCACAAACAGGUAUCCACCAUACUUCCUCAAUCCAUGGGCUUUAGCCCCAUCCCUCCCGACGUUUCAAGGAUAACUUUCCUUGCCAAACCCUUGGUUGAAGGAUCCGCCAAAUUUCUUUUGGAUCUUACAUAUUCAAAGGAAAUAACACCAUGCUUCAACAAUUGUCUUACCGCACCAUGUCUAAUGCGUAUAUGUCUUCGUUUUCCAUUAUACGCACUAUUUUUGGCAAUUUCAGUUGCCGCAUGUGAGUCAUAAUGUAGAGAAACUGGUGAAACUUGUCUUCCCCAUAAAGGCACGUCUGCCAAUAUGUUUCUCAAUCACUCGGCUUCUUGCCCUGCCAACUCAAGAGCAAUGAAUUCAGACUCUAUAGUAGAUCAUGCUAUACAAGUCUGUUUUGAAGACUUCCAUGAAAUAGUACAUGCACACAAAGUAAAUACAUAGCCACUAGUGGAUCUACCUUCAUCAUUGUCAGUAACCCAGUUUGUAUCACAAAAUCCUUCUAAGACAACAAAAAAAUUAUUAAAAUACAAAUACCAAUCCAUAGUACCUCUCAAAUAUCUUAACAAGCGAUGAAGAGCAUUCCAGUAUUCACUACCGGGGUUGUGAGUAUAUCUACUCAAUCUACUAAUAACAUAAGCAUUAUCAGGUCAUGUAUAAUUCAUGAGAAAUAUUACACUACCAAUUAUCUUAGCAUAUUCAGUUUGAGAAAUACUUGAUUCCUUAUUCUUUCUCAAGUGUAUUCUAGGAUCAUAAGGAGUUCUCACAGGUGUUACAUAAAAACAAUUAAACCUUUUCUACAUUUUCUCAAUAUAAUGAUAUUGAGAUAACGAAAAACCAUUAGAAGUUCUUUUGAUUUUAAUCCCUAAAAUCAUAUCUGCUUCUCCAAGAUCUUUCAUUUCAAAUUUUAUGAUAAAAUAUUCUUAGUCUCAUUAACAACAUUCAUAUUAGAGCCAAAGAUUAACAUGUCAUCCACAUACAGACAUAUAAUCACACCAUCUGAUCCUACCGUCUUGGAAUAAACACAAGUAUCAGAUGCAUUAACAACAAAACCAUUACUCAUUAAUAUACUAUUAAUCUUUUCAUGCCAUUGCUUAGGUGCCUACUUUAGACCAUACAGAGACAUUCUCAAUUUGCAUAUUUUAUUCUCCUGUUCUUGGAUCACAAAUCCCUCAGGUUGAGACAUAUAGAUCUCUUUCUCUAAAUCACCAUUUAGGAAAGCCGUUUUAACAUCCAUUUGAUAUAUCACUAAAUUUUGAAUAACGGCUAAAGCAACAAGAGUUCUAAUAGUCACUAUCUUAGUCACGGGAGAAUACAUGUCAAAGUAAUAAAUGUCUUUCUUUUGGUUAAAACCCUAAUAACAAGUCUAGCCAUAUAUUUCUCAAUUGUACCAUUAAGUCUCAAUUUCUUCUUAAAUAUCCACUUGCUACUUAUGAGUUUACAACCUUUAGGCAAAUCAGACAAGUCCCAAGUGUGAUUAAAAACUAUAGAGUCUAAUUCACUUUUAAUGGUCUCUUUCCAAAAACUAGCAUCUAUUGACCUCAUUGCUUCAUUAUUUGUCUUAAGGUAUUCUUCUAUUAAAUAGAUUGACACUAAUUCAUCACUAAAAAUAUCAAGAUCAAUAUUUUUAGUCAAGAAAGUAGUGAUAAAGUCAGGACCAAAGCUAGUUUCAAUUCCACGUCUCUUACUCCUUCUAAGUUCAUUUUUAUGUUCAUUAGCAAUAACACUAGAAGAAGGCAUAAUAUGAGAAUUAACAGACCUAGAUGUAGAAGCAUUAUUAGGCAUAUCACUAGGCAAAUUAUUUUUCAAUGAAACAACAUGCUCAUAAAAUUCUUCAUCUCUAGAUUCACAAAUAAAACUAUCAUUCAAAGACAUUAAUCUAUAUGCAAUACUAUUUUGAGCAUAACCAAUAAAAAUAGCACCAAAAGUCUUAGGUCUAACAGUUACUUGUUUAAAAUCAGGUAGACCAACCUUAGCCAAACAACUCUACACUUUCAGAUUUUUCAAGUUAUGUGCAAACCCUUUCCAUAACUUAUAAAGAGUUUUAUCUAACUUCUUAUGAAAGGCUUUAUUAAGAACAUAGCAUGCACAUAAAACAGCUUCCCCCUCCUCCUCCCCCCCUCCCCCCCCCACAUAUUAUCAGAUAAACUCAAACUCAAAAGCAUAGAAUUCAUCAUUUCCUUAAGGGUUCUAUUUCUAUUCGGCUACACCAUUUUGUUAGGGAGUUGAGUAUAGGAAUUACUAACCUCAUGUAUAAUUCUAUUUUUCUCACAAAAGACUUCUAGAGUAUUAGUAUUAUAUUCACCAUCCCUGUGAGACCCAAGUCUCUUGAUUUUCUAUCUAAUUAAACUUUUUACUUAUGCCUUGUAUUUCAAAAAUAUGCUUUCAUCCUCAUCUUUUGACUUAAGAAGAUAUACCUUAGUGUAUCUAGAAAAGUCAUCUACAAAAGCAAUGUAGUAUUUCUUUCCACCCUUACUAACAAUGUUCUUGAAAUCUGGUAAGUCUGAAUGCACUAGAUCAAAUAAUUCUGUAUUUCUACUAGUUACAUUCUUAAAAGGCUUUUUGGUAUAUUUUGCCUCUACACAAACAGGACACUUAGAAAAAUUAUCAACAUUAACUGCAGGAAUUAAUUUUAUUUUUCUAAGUCUUUUAAUAGAAGCAAUAUUAACAUGACCUAGUUUACCAUGCCACAAAUCAAUGGACUCAACAAUAUAAGCAUAAUUGAAAGUACUAGCAUUAUUAGUAAUCUCUUGAGCGAUAUUCAGUACACAUAAUCCCCCACUAAGGUAACCUUUCCCAACAAAGUCUCCCCCACGAGGAAUAAUAACUUUAUCAAAUUCAAAAACAAGUUUAAGACCUGCUUUGUUGAGAAGCGCACCAAAAACUAAGUUUUUACGAAGGGAGGGCACAUACAAAAUAUUGUUCAAGGCUAAGGUUUUUCCAGAAGUUAACUUAAGGAGACUUUUUCCUUUACCCAUAACUCCAGUUUUAGUGGAGUUACCCAUGUAGACACACUCGCCAUCAGCAGAUUCCUCAAAAUCGUGAAACAACUCCUUGUUGGCGCAAAGGUGCCUUGAAGCGCUCGUGUCCAGUAUCUAGUCAGUUUUGUUAGCCACCAUGUUUGACUCAAUGACCACAACAGCAAUGACAUCACCAUCCUCAUUAAGGUUAGCUUGGACUGGAGCUUGUUUUGAGCUUUGUCCUUGUCUCUGGUUGCACUGGAAAGCCUCGUGACCAAUUUUGUCGCAUACAUAGCAAGGUCCUUUAGACUUUUGAAUAUGGCCCUCCGGCUUAUUGAAGUAAUUCUACUUCUUCACAUGUCCUUUCUUCUAGCAUUUUUCUAUUUUCCUUUAAACCUGUCUUUCACAAAAGUACUAGAAGAUUCCACAAGGUUAGCUUUAGAAGAACUAAGAAAGAGAGAUUUCAUCUUAUCCUUAAGUCGUUCAACCUUCUCAUGUUUGAGAUGGUUUGCUUCCUUAGCCCUCAUGUGACUGAUCAAUUCUUGAAGAGUUAAGUUUUUCUUCUUGUAUUUCAGUUGAUUCCUGUAAACAUUCCAGGAAGGUGGAGACCUUUCAAGAAGAACAUUAGUCUGAAGAAUCUCGCACAUCUCCAUGCCUUCAUUCAAAACAUCGGCAGUCAAGUUCUCAUACUCGUGAACCUGCUCUAUGAUUGUCUUAUCAUCAACCAUGUGAAACUUGAUCCACUUUCCAACAACAUACUUCUUUUUUCCUGCAUCAUUUGCACCAUAUUUCUUCUCCAAACUGUCCCAUAUGACUUUAGAAGAAUUAUAAUUUAUAAACAAAUCAAAGAGAGGGUUAGUCAUAUGGUUAAGCUGACAGCCUCUAACAGUUUUAUUAUCCUUUUCAAAUUUUUUCUUAGCAGCAACAUCGAUAACAACAUUAGUUGUAGUAUUAGAAUUAUCAGCAACGUAAUCAACUUCUAAUUAUUUAAAGAAAAUUAAAAGUUUUCGAGACCAACGCGUAUAAUUGUUUCCAUCUAAAGGCUCAAGCUUUGACAGGUCAGGAUGUGUUUUGUUCAAAGUGGUAGCCAUUAGUCAAUAUUUGUCAUGACCCAAAACCACAUGUUGGGCGCCUAUCGAAAUGCUAGGCAAGCGGCAACCUCAAUAACCACGCAUUCUUAAAGUUUGAAAACAUAAUAAAAAUGAGUUUAAGAGUAAAAUCUCAUAAAUACAGAUACGAAAAUACCGCAACUCAAUACAAUAUUCCCCUAAAAUUCGGGUGUCACUGAUUACAUGAGCAUCUAUACAGUAACAUAGUCUGAAACACUGUCUAGAAGAGGAGAACAGUACAAAUAGAACUAAAUGAUAAAAGAGGAGAGUCAAGGACUGCGGAUGCCAAAGCAGCUACCUCGAGGGUCUCCGAACUGAAUAAUAGCUCCAAAGUCAGCAACCACCGUACCCAGAAGUACCUGGAUCUGCACACGAAGUGCAGGAUGUAGCGUGAGUACAGCCAACUCAGUAAGUAACAAGUCUAACUUUUGGGCUGAAAGUAGUGACGAGCUUCACAAGUACAGUCCAAUUACAGAAAUACAGUACAGAAAUAUAGGUAUGCUUUCAAGUUCAACAGUUAAAGCUCAAACAGGUAAAACAUGUCAAGUGUAACUGAAAUGAGAAAUGAUACAUCUCGAUGUCUAUAUGUCAGCUAUGUAUGCCAACUGUAAUACAUAGCAGUGAUGAAAUCAUAUGCAUACUCUCAGUCAAUCACUCAGUCCUCUCAUUCACUCCAUCCUCACAUUCACUCAUUCCUCACAGUCACUCAAUGUUCCAGUCGCUCGACACUCGCUCUCGGCACUCGCACUCGCACUUAGUAGGUACCUGCGCUCACUGUGGGUGUGCAGACUUCGGAGGGGCAGAUCCAGUCCAAGCUCUAUAAUAAGACAAUCAUGGCAUGAAUCAAUAAAGCCUGUUGCGGCGUGCAUCCCGAUCCCAUAAAUAUCCUCACAAUCAGGCCCUCGGCUUCACUCAGUCAUCAAUCUCUCCAGUCUCUCGGGAUCACAAAUCUCAUGAUAAUCAACCCAAACAAUGAUGAUAUGAUGUAUUAAUAAAUGACAACAGAGACUGAGAUAUGAUAUGAAAAUGAUAGCUAUGACUGAGUACAAAUCACAAAUUAAAUAAAUAAUUCAAUAUGUAACACGACCUCUGUGGGUCCCAACAGUACCGACAUGUAACCUAUGCAUGAUUUCUAACAUGAAUCAUAGUUCCAUUCUCUUUAAGACAUGGGAAAUACCUGGAAGAUAACAAGUUAUAUGACCGAGUCACAAUUUCCAUGGUGCACUCCCACACGCUCAUCACCUAGCAUGUGCGUCACCUCAACACCAAUCUCAUAACACGUAAUUCGGGGUUUCAUACCCUCAUAACUAAGUUUAGAAGUGUUACUUACCUCAAACCGUGUAAGUCUACUCCAACAAGCCCUUGCUUCUCAAAUCGUCCUCUAAAUGCCUCGAAUCUAGUCACAAAUAAUUCGAUACAAUCAACUCAAGCUAUAUAAAUUAAUUUCAUAUAAAAAUACUAAGUUCUUAAUCAAAAGUCAACCCUCUGGCCCACAUCUCGGAAUCCGAUGAAAGUUAUAAAACCUGAACACCCAUUCAACCACGAGUCCAACCAUACCAAAAUUACUCAAAUCUGAUACCAAAAUCUCGCUCAAAUCUCCAAAAUUUGGCUUAAGAAGUUUUACCAUCCCCCCCCCCCCACAAAAAAAAUUUUCAACCUAAAUCACUAAUUAAAUGAUGAAAUCGAAGAUAUAAUCAUGGAAUUUAACCAAAACUAAGGCCUCAUUUGUUUCCACUUAAUGGAGAUCUGAAUCUUAAUCAUUCACAUCUCAAACAUUAAGUGUGUUUGUUUUUAAAGUCUGAAUCUAAAUCAUUCAAAUCUUGAUCAUUAAGUGUGUUUAUUUCUUUUACUUCACAAUCACUUAAUGGGUCUGAAUAUGUCUGUAUGAUUAAGACCUAUUGUAGACAAUAAAUUGCGCGGAGAAAAUAAAAUCAUGACCGAAAAUAUUGCAACAAUCGUAGUAUUUGAUUUCAAAUAAUUUGAGUGUACAAUCUCUAUAAAUCCUCCGAUUCUUCUUUUCAAUAGCAAAUAAAUCCAACGGGCCUUUGAGCUUGAUCUUGAAUAUGUAGUUUGUUGUCACGAAUGAUGGUCUUGAAUUCAACUAGCACGAACUUCGAUUUGAAAUCGUACUCCUCUGGAUUUGCUCUUCGUUCUUGAGCUUGAACUUGAUUUGUUGAACUUGAACUUGAUUGCUUGAAGCUUGAAACGUAUGGAGGAAUUUGCAGCGUUUGAUCCAGGAGCUCUUUCUUGCAUCUUGUUAUAACUUCUGGUAUUUUUUCUGGGUUAUGAAGACCCCUAUUUAUAGUUGUGGGAGGGAAGAGUUAUGAUAAGAACAAACUCUUUCCGACCAAUCAAAUUGAAGUGUGACAUGCCGCAUUUGAUUGGCGAGAACAUGUCACUUCCACACGUAGCGCGAUUUCAUUGGCCAUUUAAUUUGGCUUGGCAUGCCUUGUCAUUUUGACACGUGGCAUGAUCCCAUUGGCUCUUUCGUUUGACUUGGCGCGCCACGUCAUUUGACACGUGGCACCAAAUUGGGCCUCGAGGAAGAUGACAUCUUGGGCUUAAUGAAGUGGGCUCAUCACUUUAGUCCAAUUAACUAGGCUAGCUCAGUGGAUUAAGACUUAUUUAUUUAAUCCAUAUAUGUUGGACUUAUAUAACUAAUCCAAUUAUAUUAGCCCAAUAAAUUUAUUUGAACUAAUAUAUCUUGAAUUUAAAAUAUAAUCCAAAUUAUUUUACGGAUUUAAUUCCAAUAAAAUUUAUAUGCCUACAAAUACCCCUUACUUCAAGACUUGUAAAAGUAUAAAUAUGUUGAUCUUAAAAGACUAGGCUUGAAGUAUUAGCGUAGCAUUAAAUUUGAAGCUUGGAUUAGAUAAAAUUAACCACGCAGUAUAUUCCUUGAGACUUUUUGUAGUCAAUUCUUAUUAAAUAGGAAUAAUGCUAACGUAGGUACAGAAUAUUUAGCACUUGAAAAUCCAACAUUACCAAUGAUUCAGUUUUCCCUUCUUUCUAAAAGAAUCCAACAAUAAUCAAGCUAGAUUAGUUGAAUUCAUAUGUUGUCUUUACUGCAUCCACAUGGCAUUUAAUUUGGCAAUUUACUUUGCUUUAAACAAUAACGUAACCACAUAGGACCGUUUGACACAUGAUUUGUGUCACACCCUUUUUUACCCAAAAAAAAAGAUAUAUGUAUGUUAUUGUAUGGAUCGUGGGUUAAAGAGUUUUUUCAAUUGAAGUGACAAAUUUGAAUAGAGAUUAUUUUAUUUAUAGAGUCGCCACUUGGAAUUGAUUUUUCGGUAUUCCAAGUCACAUUUUAUUUGAAUCCCUAAUCAAAGGAAGGUUUGACUCUAUUAUUAAUUGGUCUGCGAAAAUAAAGUUCGAGUAAGAAAUUCUGUUGACCGAGAAGAAGGUGUAAUGCAUUCCCCGAGUCCCGUGGUUCUAGCACGGUCGCUUUAUUGACUUAAACUUGGCUUGAAUUUAUUUUGGAUAAACUGUGUUUAUUUAGAUUUUCAUGUUUUACCUAUCUACUUUUAAUUAUUAAAAUUAUUAAAGAAAAGAUUUGAAUAAAAUUGUCCUAACCGCACCACGCAAACGAAUGUGUGACCGAGAUAAAUUUUAUUGAUUUUGUCAUAAUCGCGCUACGCAAGCGAAUCCGCAGUCAUAACGAGGAUUAUUAGUACGCUAUUAUUUUUGGAGAAAAUUACUACAUUCGAAGAAAAUAAUUUUGAAAUUUAUUAAAAGUUAACUAUCGCGCUACGCAAACGAAUCCGCGAGUUUAGCAAUAGAUUUAUUAAAUUAAAAAUUAACUAAAACUAACGAGUACGGUAUGACAUUAUUGAAUUAAAUUAUUGAAUGUUAAACAUCACGUUACGCAAGCGAUUCCAUGAAGUUAAAGUACGCUUACUAAUUGCCUAGCGUCAAAAUUAAUUAAAAAGCGCUUCUUUUUUAUUUAUUACUUGUUCGACCGAAAAAAAAUGAUAUUAUUAUUAAAAAAUAAUUUUUAACUAAUGCAAGACAUUAAACCCGGGUAAGUUUAUGUUAAACUUUCAUGGUAUUAGGCCACUUAUUUUAUUUUACAAAAGAUAAUUUAUUGAUUUUAAAGAAAAUGCCUAUCUUACUUUCUAUUGUCAUUGGGCCUAUAAAUUUUAGCUUAUUUGGCCCAUGUUGCUUAAGAGCGUGAUGACCAAGACAACACAAAAUAACAAAUAUUCUUCUAAACCCAAAUUGCUUCUUACUUUAAUGUCCAAACUAAAAAUUAUUUUUCAUAAAAGAAACUUACAUGCUAAUUAUUAUCUUUUAUCUUCUUAACCAACUAUUUCUUAAGGACUAACAUAAUAUUUCUACUCAUCUACACCAACAUGACACUAAUCAAACUACACCCAUAAAAACCACGACUAAAUAUAAAAACUACAAAAAACGGUAAUACUUUAAUGCUAAAGAGAAAAACUAUAUUAUAACAUUAUGUUGACUAUAAUUUAAAGCAUCAAAACAUUUGAAGCUAGAAGUCUUUCUUAGAUAAUUAUACAUGAACCAUGAAAGUAACUCACAAAAAAGAUCCCAAACUAAACAAACAUGGUUAAAAGUGGGGUCUUUAUCUUUUCCUUAAACUAAGUAAUCUUAACAAAAUACAAUUUCAAUCACAUAUAUAAAGAAGAAAACGAUAAUUUAAGUAAUUUUUAACAGAUUUACAUGAUAAUAACACUAAUAUAAUAUUCAUCUUGAGACAAAAUCAGAUCUAACAUGUUCCAUCAACCAAACUGGGAUCAAAUCCUUCUUAUUAUCAUCAAGAAUCUGCAAUAUAAGAAUUUGAAAGUUACCUGAUUUGUAGAAUAAUAAAAUACACCAGUGCAACAACAAUACAUUCAACAGCAAAUACAGUAGAAACAGCAGCAACUCAAGUGUUAAGACAACCCAGAAAACUCAAUAAAGAUGCUUGAAACUGGUAGCUAUCAAUUUCACAAAUUGCCUAAGGAAUCUUUCUAUUUUUCUCAAAGUUUUUGCACUCAAAUAAUCCUCACAAAGCUCAGAAAUUUUAGCUUGCUAUAUGUAUUAAACUGGUAAUUUUUCUCAAAGAUAUAUGUCUUUAAGCAACUUUUCAAGAUGUGUCCAAGUGUAAGAUAGAGUGUGUGCCCCUUUUAUAGGAGAAGAGCAGUCAUUUAAAUAGGCAAAUAAAUUAGAUUUUUUGGACAGAUUUUGAUUCACCAAAAGUCUGUCCAAAAGACUGACUUUGUGUGUUAAAACAUUGUUCAAAAGCUGUCAAAAAGUAUUGUAUUUGUCACCACACAAUAACUUUUGAGUUUUGUACUCCAAAGUCUUUGCACAGUAAAAACAACCAAACUUGUACUAUUUCUUCUUUAAUUUCAGCUUUUAUCAACACAAAAUUCAAAUACUCAAAUCCAAUAAAAAUAAAUUCACUAAGCACUUGAAACUUUUAUCAUAAACUUUCAUGACUAAGCGAAUAGCUAUUUCAAAACUAAUGAAUAACUAAUUAUCAGUGAUUAAUAACUAUGAACGACUAAGCCAACAUAGAUUAAACACAACUAAUAAUAAAAAUAUAAAUAAUAUAAAUAAUAAUAAUAAAAAUAAAAAAAUAAAAAAUCAUAAUUUAUGCUAGACAUAAACUAAAUACAACACAAUUAGAAAAAAUAGACAAAGGAAAUGAGAAUAGGGGUAUACCAAACGAGGGCGUUCAGGGUGGUUGCCGGAAUUUGGCCGGAUUUUUAAUUGUCGAAUUUUCGGGAUGGAAUUGACAUCAAUAGGUAGGUCUUGAUGAGCUAUAUCCGUUGAUGUAGGUAUUGUGGGGUGGUAGUGGCCAGAACUUCAAGAUUUUGGGCAAAAAAGUGGCAGCUAAAGUUUUCUAGAUCUAAAAUUCAAGGAGUUUGAAGAGGUUUUGAAGGAUUUGGUUUAGAGAUAUGGAAUGAGGAGGUUGUGGAGAUUACAUGGUGUGAAUUUGGGGGUGUUUGGAGGUUGGCCGCCUCCGGUGGGCGAUUUUCGGCGGGCGGUAGCGGUGGUGGGGGCGGAUAUGUGAGAGAGAAGAGAGAGAAAGAAGAAAAGA
RNAcentral lists this long non-coding RNA (33797 nucleotides) under Nicotiana tabacum (common tobacco). Its description in RNAcentral is "long non-coding RNA (NTAB_LNC009444)". Lineage: Eukaryota; Viridiplantae; Streptophyta; Magnoliopsida; Solanales; Solanaceae. The record is from RNAcentral.